This 2276-nucleotide long non-coding RNA is filed under the name Gallus gallus (chicken). RNAcentral's name for it is "lncRNA (ENSGALG00010017302.1)". Lineage: Eukaryota; Metazoa; Chordata; Aves; Galliformes; Phasianidae. The record is from RNAcentral.
AUAUUUCCCAGAGCUGCAUCUCCUCCCUCUCCCUGCUUAACUGUUUCUACACCAAUGGUGUUUUUUUUUUCCCACAGAAGGGCGUAUUCAGAUUCCUAAAGAAGGCUUUGAAAGGGAUCCAGAGAGGCAAUCACAUGCAUGUGCAGCUAUUUUUUUCAUCCGGCAAGAAUAUAUGGAAUGUGAAUGGAGUUUCAGCAUAGCUCUGUGAGUCUCAUCCAGUGAGACAAAAGUACCAUGCGAACUUAGUGACUACUGGUUGGGAGACUGACCCAGCAGCCUUGCAAAAACUAUGCUGCUUAUGCCAACAGUUCUCAGACUGCAGAUCCAUACACUGUACCUACAAAUGCGGGUUACAAUUGCAGCAACUCAGAUCGAUUAUUGGAUAAGAGAAGCAAAUACAUUCACUGGACACAUUCUUUGCUGUGAAAAAAACACAACUAUUUGUAAUUUAUUGCUUACACAGUUGUUUUAAGAUGAAACAUUUACCUUCUGUUAUUUUUGUUUCUGUAAUUGUAUUUCCAGGUUUACUUUCUGGGGUUGCCCUCUAUGCCUGUAUUCGAGGGCCUAACUAGAAUAUUAUAAUUCUUAUAGAAAUUUUACUAGUUACUUCUCCUUAACUGAAUUUUAGUUUUGAAUCUGAGACUUCAACUGUAAAGAAUAUAUAUAGACAGGAAAAAAAAAGUUACUGGGAGCAAAAACAUGCUCGUUGUUUUUAUGCCUCUCUCUGAAGGACAUAUAUGCUUAGUAUUUAGAAAAGUACACUAAUGUUAUUGUUGUUUGAAGUGUGUUUACUUGAUGUAGUUCGUAGGGCUGCAAGGUAAAGCAAGACCCAUUCAUGUUUGCUUGAUUUUUUUCAGUUUGGCAUGACACAGAAUUGCUGGGUUUGUGCUAUCUUUAUUUAAACUUUGUUCCUCUGUGAGGGGCUGUGGCUUCUGUAUUUCUCAGCAUCAUUGUACCCCAAGGGUGACAUAUCUCUCUGAUUCUUAAAAUGCUGUAUUUCAGGUGUUAUAUCCCACCUCUGAAUACCAGCUUGCUAAGGAAAAUAUAGCUGUAUUUUCCAGAAGGAACUGAAGUUGCAUCAGGUUGAUUUUCACCCUCUAAGUUACUUAGGCACAGUAUGGCAUUGUACAAACUGAAAACAAAUGGCAAAAUCCUGCCUGCUACUAAAGAGAUAUCAUUGAGAAGGAAAAACAACAACAACCAAAAACAACAACAACAACAACAACAAAUAAGUCCGAACCCUUUCAAAUUGCUUUCAUAGAUAUCUCGAAGGCAAGGUUUUUAUUCCCAGUGGCAGUAAAAUGAAAUGUUUCCAAGAAGCAUGACAUACAGAUAAUUUGCCCUUUGCUUUGUAGUUCAAGUAUAUAAAAUGAACAGUUUACAAUUUCUUGGUCUCAUCUGGUUUAUAGAACGUUGGUUAAACAUUUUUAAUGUUUGCUUCUAUUUAUAUAUAAUUUUCUUUUUCUAGUUUUAGCUCUUUUAGUGUGCAUUCUAGGCUCAAAUUUCUAAACAGUAUGGGACAAUCUGUCUUCACAUUAGGGAUUUUUUUUAAUGGAGUUUUUUUUAGUCUGUAUUUCCCUUGAGACUGGCUUUUUUGUUUGUUUGUUUUAUUGUUGUUGUUUUAUGUGCUCUAGGUUGAACUAUAGCGAGUAAGCAAAGGAUCAAUAUUGGCAGCAGCACUUCAGAGACAGCGUAUGUCUCUACAAAACGUUGCAAAGUUCUGGGUGGGAUCCUACUGCCUGUAUGCAUAAAUGGCUGGGGAAAUCUGAAGAGAGAAAACACAGAACUGUAAGAAAAUUGGAGAGUUGUAAGAAGACUGGAGAUGAUCUUUAACCUGAGUUGCUUAAAAAACAUCUGUAGAGAUCCUAAUGGGUCUCAUUCUCCAAAGCUGAGGGCUGAGAAAGCUGCAUGGGUCAGGUUCUUCCAUGCUUGGUUGAGUGCUCGAGUGAAUACUUGCCCAAGAGAUAUUUGUCCCUCUUCAAAAUAGCUAGCUCAGUCUUUAACCUUUAUUUUCAACCAUAGUUCUACAAUUCCUCUGCUGUAAUGAAGUGAUGCUACUUUUCACUAUGAGCAAUACAAUGAAUUAGCUGAUCUGUCACAUUUAAUAUCUUUUGGUAGAUAUGUGUCGGUGAGAAAUACCGUAUGCAUUAUAUACCUCUAUACACAUAUCUCCAUGUACAUAUAUUAAAAUAUAGAGAUAAAAUUUGUAUACUUAUUUACAUUCAAAAAAUGAACACUGGUGAAAUUCUUUACAGUAAAUAAAGUGUAUAAUGAUG